CAGCAGUCAAUUGCUGGUACUCAGUGUCCAGUGAUGACGGAAAUGGAAGUCAACCAGGUUCUGAGCAGAGAAUUAAUCCAAGUUUAAAAUAACAAAAAGCUCUUUCACAAUGAGCAAUAAACCAAUCGAUUUAUGAUGUCGCAUCAGUCAAUUGCUAACUCUCAGUGUCCAUCAGUGAUGACGAAAAUAACAUACCAAGAAGUUCUGUAGGAAAAUAAUGAAUCGAAGUUUAUAAUGA
Molecule: long non-coding RNA, 238 nt
Organism: Harmonia axyridis
Lineage: Eukaryota; Metazoa; Arthropoda; Insecta; Coleoptera; Coccinellidae
Exons: 2
Source: RefSeq, a predicted model, not a curated record